GAUGAACGCUGGCGGCGUGCCUAAUACAUGCAAGUCGAGCGAACAGACGAGGAGCUUGCUCCUCUGACGUUAGCGGCGGACGGGUGAGUAACACGUGGAUAACCUACCUAUAAGACUGGGAUAACUUCGGGAAACCGGAGCUAAUACCGGAUAAUAUAUUGAACCGCAUGGUUCAAUAGUGAAAGACGGUUUUGCUGUCACUUAUAGAUGGAUCCGCGCCGCAUUAGCUAGUUGGUAAGGUAACGGCUUACCAAGGCAACGAUGCGUAGCCGACCUGAGAGGGUGAUCGGCCACACUGGAACUGGGACACGGUCCAGACUCCUACGGGAGGCAGCAGUAGGGAAUCUUCCGCAAUGGGCGAAAGCCUGACGGAGCAACGCCGCGUGAGUGAUGAAGGUCUUCGUAUCGUAAAACUCUGUUAUUAGGGAAGAACAAAUGUGUAAGUAACUAUGCACGUCUUGACGGUACCUAAUCAGAAAGCCACGGCUAACUACGUG
RNAcentral lists this ribosomal RNA (497 nucleotides) under uncultured bacterium. RNAcentral describes it as "partial 16S ribosomal RNA". It matches the Rfam family "Bacterial small subunit ribosomal RNA", at positions 28 to 507 of the family's 1533-position model. The record is from RNAcentral.